GACGAACCGUGCAAACGUUAUUCGGAAUCACUGGGCUUAAAGCGCGUGUAGGCGGGUUGCCACGUCGGGCGCUGAAAUCCCCCGGCUCAACCGGGGAACGGGCACCGAUACGAGCGGCCUGGAGGGGAGUAGGGGGACCUGGAACUUCCGGUGGAGCGGUGAAAUGCGUUGAGAUCGGAAGGAACGCCCGUGGCGAAAGCGAGGUCCUGGGCUCUUACUGACGCUGAGACGCGAAAGCCAGGGGAGCAAACGGG
Molecule: ribosomal RNA, 254 nt
Filed under: uncultured bacterium
Lineage: Bacteria
Description: partial 16S ribosomal RNA
Rfam family: Bacterial small subunit ribosomal RNA
Source: RNAcentral